CCUACGGGAUGCUGCAGUGAGGAAUAUUGGUCAAUGGACGAGAGUCUGAACCAGCCAAGUAGCGUGAAGGAUGACUGCCCUAUGGGUUGUAAACUUCUUUUAUAUGGGAAUAAAACGUUCCACGUGUGGGAUUUUGUAUGUACCAUAUGAAUAAGGAUCGGCUAACUCCGUGCCAGCAGCCGCGGUAAUACGGAGGAUCCGAGCGUUAUCCGGAUUUAUUGGGUUUAAAGGGAGCGUAGGUGGAUUGUUAAGUCAGUUGUGAAAGUUUGCGGCUCAACCGUAAAAUUGCAGUUGAAACUGGCAGUCUUGAGUACAGUAGAGGUGGGCGGAAUUCGUGGUGUAGCGGUGAAAUGCUUAGAUAUCACGAAGAACUCCGAUUGCGAAGGCAGUUCACUGGACUGCAACUGACACUGAGGCUCGAAAGUGUGGGUAUCAAACAGGAUUAGAUACCCUUGUAGUC
This 460-nucleotide ribosomal RNA is filed under the name uncultured bacterium. RNAcentral's name for it is "partial 16S ribosomal RNA". It matches the Rfam family "Bacterial small subunit ribosomal RNA", at positions 338 to 795 of the family's 1533-position model. The record is from RNAcentral.